UGAGGAAUAUUGGGCAAUGCCCGCAAGGGUGACCCAGCAACGCCGCGUGGAGGAUGAAUGUCGUAAGAUUGUAAACUCCUGUUAGAGGGGAAGAAUAGUACCGGUUGGACCGGUAUAUGACUGUACCCUCAGAGAAAGCCCCGGCUAACUACGUGCCAGCAGCCGCGGUAAUACGUAGGGGGCAAGCGUUGUCCGGAUUUACUGGGUGUAAAGGGCGCGCAGGCGGGAUAAAAAGUCAGUGGUGAAAUCCUACAGCUUAACUGUAGAACUGCCUUUGAUACUUUUAUUCUUGAGUUCGGGAGAGAGAGACGGAAUUCCAGGUGUAGUGGUGAAAUACGUAGAUAUCUGGAAGAACACCAGUUGCGAAGGCGGUCUCUUGGUCCGACACUGACGCUGAGGCGCGAAAGCCAGGGGAGCAAACG
Molecule: ribosomal RNA, 422 nt
Filed under: uncultured bacterium
Lineage: Bacteria
Description: bacterial SSU rRNA
Rfam family: Bacterial small subunit ribosomal RNA
Source: RNAcentral